AUGGUGAUAGGGGACCUUAAUGAAAUCCUAUACUCUUUCGAGAAGGAAGGAGGGAAUGAUCGUCCUGAACAGUUUAUGCAAGCUUUUAGAGAUGCUCUGGAAGACUGUAAUUUAUCUGAUCAGGGUUAUGUUGGUGAUAAGUUUACUUGGCAUAGAGGCCUCAUUCGAGAAAGACUGGAUCGAGCACUGACGAAUAAAGGUUGGAAUAUAAAAUUUCCUUUUGCAAAACUGGACCACCUGGACUAUUAUAGGUCCGAUCAUAGGCCGCUACUC
Molecule: ribosomal RNA, 273 nt
Filed under: Triticum aestivum (bread wheat)
Lineage: Eukaryota; Viridiplantae; Streptophyta; Magnoliopsida; Poales; Poaceae
Description: partial small subunit ribosomal RNA
Source: RNAcentral